This 370-nucleotide ribosomal RNA is filed under the name uncultured organism. RNAcentral's name for it is "bacterial SSU rRNA". It matches the Rfam family "Bacterial small subunit ribosomal RNA", at positions 526 to 896 of the family's 1533-position model. The record is from RNAcentral.
CGUAGGGUGCGAGCGUUAAUCGGAAUUACUGGGCGUAAAGCGUGCGCAGGCGGUUUUGUAAGACAGAUGUGAAAUCCCCGGGCUCAACCUGGGACCUGCAUUUGUGACUGCAAGGCUAGAGUACGGUAGAGGGGGAUGGAAUUCCGCGUGUAGCAGUGAAAUGCGUAGAUAUGCGGAGGAACACCGAUGGCGAAGGCAAUCCCCUGGACCUGUACUGACGCUCAUGCACGAAAGCGUGGGGAGCAAACAGGAUUAGAUACCCUGGUAGUCCACGCCCUAAACGACGUCAACUGGUUGUUGGGUCUUUACUGACUCAGUAACGAAGCUAACGCGUGAAGUUGACCGCCUGGGGAGUACGGCCGCAAGGUUG